AAGUAAGUUGGCAGAAUAGUGCAAUCGAUUUAGGAUCUAUAAAUGGGCGACAGCCCACUUACU
This 63-nucleotide transfer RNA is filed under the name Microchaetus vernoni. RNAcentral describes it as "tRNA-Leu". Lineage: Eukaryota; Metazoa; Annelida; Clitellata; Crassiclitellata; Microchaetidae. The record is from RNAcentral.